CAUAGUGGCGCACGGGUGCGUAACGCGUGGGAAUCUGCCCUCAGGUUCGGAAUAACAGUUGGAAACGACUGCUAAUACCGGAUGAUGACGUUAAGUCCAAAGAUUUAUCGCCUGAGGAUGAGCCCGCGUAGGAUUAGCUAGUUGGUGUGGUAAGAGCGCACCAAGGCGACGAUCCUUAGCUGGUCUGAGAGGAUGAUCAGCCACACUGGGACUGAGACACGGCCCAGACUCCUACGGGAGGCAGCAGUGGGGAAUAUUGGACAAUGGGCGAAAGCCUGAUCCAGCAAUGCCGCGUGAGUGAUGAAGGCCUUAGGGUUGUAAAGCUCUUUUACCCGGGAUGAUAAUGACAGUACCGGGAGAAUAAGCUCCGGCUAACUCCGUGCCAGCAGCCGCGGUAAUACGGAGGGAGCUAGCGUUGUUCGGAAUUACUGGGCGUAAAGCGCACGUAGGCGGCUUUGUAAGUUAGAGGUGAAAGCCUGGAGCUCAACUCCAGAAUUGCCUUUAAGACUGCAUCGCUUGAAUCCAGGAGAGGUGAGUGGAAUUCCGAGUGUAGAGGUGAAAUUCGUAGAUAUUCGGAAGAACACCAGUGGCGAAGGCGGCUCACUGGACUGGUAUUGACGCUGA
RNAcentral lists this ribosomal RNA (624 nucleotides) under unidentified microorganism. RNAcentral describes it as "bacterial SSU rRNA". It matches the Rfam family "Bacterial small subunit ribosomal RNA", at positions 91 to 749 of the family's 1533-position model. The record is from RNAcentral.